UUCUCGUCGUUAUUUUUUUUGCUGUCAUAAUUUUGCCAGGGCUAUUAUAUUUCUUUCUGCUGUUUCCCCAUUUGCUAUCCAGUAAAUAAUUGACUGACCAGAAGCAUAAUCUGUGUUAUAACCCAUUUCCUUUGAAGCCAUGGACGUUUUUAGAGCAUUUCAUCAGUACUUCACUGGAGAUCCAGCACUUUCCUGGGGAGGUUACAUGGAGUUCCCACAAUUAAAAAAAACAGCGCGCAGCCAUUUUGUUCAUUCUACCCAAAAGUCAAUUUUUAAUAUAGAAGUAACAUUUAACAAGACUGUGUAGCUUUCAGUAGGCAUGAAGGAGAAAGAAUUUAUUGUUUUCGAAUGAUGCCUUUGUCUCCUGACUAGCUCUCUGUGCAGGUGUGUGGCUUACUGGGUUGAAAAUAGCUAAAGGAGGGAGGAUUCCACAAUAUUCACCUCUUUUUCUUCUCAGUGGUUUCUCUGUCAGUGAAUGAAUCCCCAAACACAAGUUUUAAGCUGAAAAUUCUUUAUUCUAGACAUCUCUACUGUCCAAAUCAAAAUGAAAAUGUGGCCAGUUAAGCACCCUUUUUUCUUAUUAUUAUUUCCUUUUUUACUCCUCUUUGUUUUGUUUUCAGUUCUGCAGACCUAAGACAUCAUUUGCCUCGCUCUGUGUUCUCCAUUGCCAUCUUGUUUUAUUCUGUCACUGUGGAAUGUCACCACAGUGUGUCUUGUCAGGCUGAUAACUGGCAAACCCUUAAACUCACCUCUCUCUUUCACUGGUUUCUUCUCUGGUCUACC
Molecule: long non-coding RNA, 783 nt
Organism: Ficedula albicollis (Collared flycatcher)
Lineage: Eukaryota; Metazoa; Chordata; Aves; Passeriformes; Muscicapidae
Exons: 3
Source: RefSeq, a predicted model, not a curated record